AGAGUUUGAUCCUGGCUCAGGAUUAACGCUGGCGGCGUGCCUAACACAUGCAAGUCGAACGAGGUAGCAAUACCUAGUGGCAGACGGGUGAGUAACGCGUGGUCAACCUACCGUUGAGUGGGGGAUAACUAACCGAAAGGUUAGCUAAUACCGCAUACGUGUUCGGGGGGCAUCCCCUGAAUAUAAAAGGAGCAAUCCGCUCGAUGACGGGACCGCGUCCCAUUAGCUAGUUGGUGGGGUGAAGGCCUACCAAGGCUCCGAUGGGUAGCUGGUUUGAGAGAGCGACCAGCCACACUGGAACUGAGAAACGGUCCAGACUCCUACGGGAGGCAGCAGUGAGGAAUUUUCCGCAAUGGGCGAAAGCCUGACGGAGCGACGCCGCGUGUGGGAAGAAGGCCUUCGGGUCGUAAACCACUGUCGGAGGGGACGAUAAUGACGGUACCCUGGAGGAAGCCCCGGCUAACUACGUGCCAGCAGCCGCGGUA
Molecule: ribosomal RNA, 485 nt
Filed under: uncultured bacterium
Lineage: Bacteria
Description: bacterial SSU rRNA
Rfam family: Bacterial small subunit ribosomal RNA
Source: RNAcentral